UGGGUGCCUGCAUUUGCUUUACAUUAGUGUCCCAGAUCCGGGAAAUGUUUUAGCAUAUGCUUAACUUUAAGCAUGAGGUUAUUUGGGUGUGGAAGAGGAAUGCAAAUGUGCAGGCUGGUGAAGCAGACAGAUGAUGGAACUGAAGCUGGCAGCUGACAAAGCGCGACUGAAGGACCACAAGAGACUGUGAUCUGCUCUGCACACAACAGUGGCCAUCAAGGACCUCAUUUCUAGGAUAUAUUGGUGCCAGGUGGGAAAAGAGUGGGAGAUCGAGUCCUUGCAACAACCUUUGCAACUGGAUCUUUACAGCAAGCAAGGGAGACAGCGAAAAAUAGUCAACAUUAUUUUGGCACAGUGGGGAAGAAGGGAUGAAAGCUCUGCAAAUGAAUUCAUUGUGACAACCUUUGUGAAGAAUCUGCGUGCUUGAUCUUUUAAAAGAUUUAAUAAUUCUUUUGAUA
Molecule: long non-coding RNA, 458 nt
Filed under: Anser brachyrhynchus (Pink-footed goose)
Lineage: Eukaryota; Metazoa; Chordata; Aves; Anseriformes; Anatidae
Description: lncRNA (ENSABRG00000000314.1)
Source: RNAcentral